Molecule: ribosomal RNA, 504 nt
Filed under: uncultured bacterium
Lineage: Bacteria
Description: partial 16S ribosomal RNA
Rfam family: Bacterial small subunit ribosomal RNA
Source: RNAcentral
GACGAACGCUGGCGGCGUGCCUAAUACAUGCAAGUAGAACGCACAGUUUAUACCGUAGCUUGCUACACCAUAGACUGUGAGUUGCGAACGGGUGAGUAACGCGUAGGUAACCUGCCUGGUAGCGGGGGAUAACUAUUGGAAACGAUAGCUAAUACCGCAUAAUAUUAAUUAUUGCAUGAUAAUUAAUUGAAGGGUGCAAUUGCACCACUACCAGAUGGACCUGCGUUGUAUUAGCUAGUAGGUGAGGUAACGGCUCACCUAGGCGACGAUACAUAGCCGACCUGAGAGGGUGAUCGGCCACACUGGGACUGAGACACGGCCCAGACUCCUACGGGAGGCAGCAGUAGGGAAUCUUCGGCAAUGGACGAAAGUCUGACCGAGCAACGCCGCGUGAGUGAAGAAGGUUUUCGGAUCGUAAAGCUCUGUUGUAAGAGAAGAACGGGUGUGAGAGUGGAAAGUUCACACUGUGACGGUAUCUUACCAGAAAGGGACGGCUAACUACGU